GAGGUAUUAGUAUAAGCAAUACAUAACUUUGUCAAAGUUAAGAUAUAAACUAAUCUUUAUAUACCUCUU
This 69-nucleotide transfer RNA is filed under the name Elephantulus edwardii (Cape elephant shrew). Its description in RNAcentral is "tRNA-Asp". The record is from RNAcentral. Lineage: Eukaryota; Metazoa; Chordata; Mammalia; Macroscelidea; Macroscelididae.